UGCUGUUGCUCUUUACCACUACCGCCACCGCCGUGGUCCUUAGUGCCCAAGCCGCCCCCUUGCUCGUCUUGGGGAUUCGCAUCAGUGCUGUGAAGUCUCUUGGGGCAGCGGAAUCGCAGAUGUGCCACAUAGGGGAACUCAAACUGGAAACGUUGGCUGCAUUCCAGUUCCAUUCGGGACAACACCUCAGAAGCUUCGUCCACCCUAUGAUGUGCCCAAGAUAAGCAAGGAAAUUACCCUCAGACACCUCCGUCACACUUGCUGAGACUCACCCGGAAGAUGUAAGGUACUGUUCUCUUGUCCGUGGACUUGAGGGCUACGAAGGCUAUGCUGUCAUACAGGGAAGUAUGGCUCAGAACACAGGGACCGAAUAUGGCGUUCUCUGGGAUGUCGCAGGUUGUAUAUACACUGGUAAAAAUGUCUGUCAGACACUGUUGGACAGCCUUGGCAUCUCCAUCCCAGAUGCCUCUCUGGAUGCCUGAAUCCUCCAUCACUGGAGACAGAUACCCAGGACGAGAAGAGAGUUGUUAUUGCAUUUUCUGCUACGAACCUCGAACCUCGGCAGAGCAUUUCCGCUACCAGACAUAUUUUCUUUGCACUUGCCGGCUUUUUUUUUUUUUUUUUUACAUAGUUCCUACUUUAAAAAUCAAGCAGAUCAAUCUGG
RNAcentral lists this long non-coding RNA (664 nucleotides) under Mus caroli (Ryukyu mouse). Its description in RNAcentral is "RIKEN cDNA A730035I17 gene (MGP_CAROLIEiJ_G0003708.1)". Lineage: Eukaryota; Metazoa; Chordata; Mammalia; Rodentia; Muridae. The record is from RNAcentral.